GAUGAACGCUGGCGGCGUGCCUAAUACAUGCAAGUCGAGCGAACAGACGAGGAGCUUGCUCCUCUGACGUUAGCGGCGGACGGGUGAGUAACACGUGGAUAACCUACCUAUAAGACUGGGAUAACUUCGGGAAACCGGAGCUAAUACCGGAUAAUAUAUUGAACCGCAUGAUUCAAUAGUGAAAGACGGUUUUGCUGUCACUUAUAGAUGGAUCCGCGCCGCAUUAGCUAGUUGGUAAGGUAACGGCUUACCAAGGCGACGAUGCGUAGCCGACCUGAGAGGGUGAUCGGCCACACUGGAACUGAGACACGGUCCAGACUCCUACGGGAGGCAGCAGUAGGGAAUCUUCCGCAGUGGGCGAAAGCCUGACGGAGCAACGCCGCGUGAGUGAUGAAGGUCUUCGGAUCGUAAAACUCUGUUAUUAGGGAAGAACAAAUGUGUAAGUAACUAUGCACGUCUUGACGGUACCUAAUCAGAAAGCCACGGCUAACUACGU
This 496-nucleotide ribosomal RNA is filed under the name uncultured bacterium. RNAcentral describes it as "partial 16S ribosomal RNA". It matches the Rfam family "Bacterial small subunit ribosomal RNA", at positions 28 to 506 of the family's 1533-position model. The record is from RNAcentral.